GACGAACGCUGGCGGCGUGCUUAACACAUGCAAGUCGAACGGAAAGGCCCUGCUUUUGUGGGGUGCUCGAGUGGCGAACGGGUGAGUAACACGUGAGUAACCUGCCCUUGACUUUGGGAUAACUUCAGGAAACUGGGGCUAAUACCGGAUAGGAGCUCCUGCUGCAUGGUGGGGGUUGAAAGUUUCGGCGGUUGGGGAUGGACUCGCGGCUUAUCAGCUUGUUGGUGGGGUAGUGGCUUACCAAGGCUUUGACGGGUAGCCGGCCUGAGAGGGUGACCGGCCACAUUGGGACUGAGAUACGGCCCAGACUCCUACGGGAGGCAACAGUGGGGAAUAUUGCACAAUGGGCGGAAGCCUGAUGCAGCAACGCCGCGUGCGGGAUGACGGCCUUCGGGUGGUAAACCGCUUUCGCCUGUGACGAAGCGUGAGUGACGGUAAUGGGUAAAGAAGCACCGGCUAACUACGU
This 466-nucleotide ribosomal RNA is filed under the name uncultured bacterium. Its description in RNAcentral is "partial 16S ribosomal RNA". It matches the Rfam family "Bacterial small subunit ribosomal RNA", at positions 28 to 506 of the family's 1533-position model. The record is from RNAcentral.